Molecule: long non-coding RNA, 1678 nt
Organism: Oreochromis niloticus (Nile tilapia)
Lineage: Eukaryota; Metazoa; Chordata; Actinopteri; Cichliformes; Cichlidae
Exons: 6
Source: RefSeq, a predicted model, not a curated record
CCACAUGGAACUGAAGUACAAGAAGAAGAAACAGGAGGGAAGGGAAUAGAGUUUGAAAAGAGGUCCACUGCCCUCCAGGUGGCAGUGAAGCCUGAGUCAACCACUUUGUCGUUGGAGGAGAAGCUGAUGUGAAGCGUAUUCCCAUCACUCACCAUGUCUGCAGGAGGCACGUGACUGCAGUAGGUACCUGAGGGCGACCCUGCAAGAGCCUGAAUGAGUAAAAUCUCCUAGGCAGUGGAGCCCAUCUAUAAAACUAUUUUCAGCUAUCGGUUUGGCAGGGCCCUGCGCCACCUGGGGCUCAUCGGCAAUUGAAGAAUGGAAAUCAGGUACAUCGAUGUUCCACAUGCACUCGGUGUUGGGCUUGUAAUUCAUGGGCCAGUCCUGGGACUUGAUAACUCCGGUUUCCUCCUUUGAAGAAAAGCCACAACCCAGGAUUUCUGAAACAGGCAGGGGAAAUGAAGAAAACUGAAUGAGAGCCAUAAGGGUACACAGCCUCCCACUUGGCAGAGAAUCCGCGGUCUGUGAGGCGACUGUCAGACUGGAAGGUCACAGAUAUCGUGUCACUGGCGCUGACCACCACUGGGGGAAGGAUGUAGCCACAGUGUGUACCUGGAUCAGCGAGAGGAAGGACAGAGGAAAAAGGGAAGGUGCUCAGCUUGUGACUGUGCAGGCCAUUUGAGUCAAGCGAAACACGUGCAAGACACCAAUCCAAGAUGGUAUGCGCUUUGUGACAUGCCGCGUUAUUGGGAGAUCCAUAUACGGUGGUCAUACAGAGGCAUGGUCAAUGAGGGACGACGUGUACCAAGAGUAUAUUACCACCAGCCUGAACUCAUGAUGUAAUUCAGGAUGAAAAUCUGACACCACCAGCUGAAUAUCACAGCAGAAAUGAACUAAUCAGGCCUGGCAACGUUUUUCUUACCUUCCACUGUCUUAUGCUUCUGUAGUCCACUGAUGAGCUUUCAGAGAGCCUGUUGUCUUUUUAUCACCUCAAACCUGUCUACUUGUUCUUCUCUGACCUUUGCAAUCAACAAGACAUCUGUUUGAGAUCAUUCUCUAACAACCCUACUGAUGGCUGUGAAUGAAAAUCCAAGGACCGCAUGAUGUGCCGCUAACAUGAUGCAUGGUGUGGAGGACAUUGUGUUAAUUACUCUGCAACUCCGUAGAUACAUAUUGUGAGCAUGAUGACUUCUGAACAAUUCACAUUAGACACUUUAUCCUUAAACCAAAGGUACUUCAUGUGGACUACAUGAGCUGAUCAGAAUUUGGAGCACUUUACAGUGGGGAAAAUAAUUAUUUGAUCCCCUGCUGAAUUUGUGAUUUUACUCACUUAUAAACAAAUGAAAGGUCUCUACUUUUGAUUGUAGUUUCCUUUUUAUGGAGGAAGACAGAAUAAGCAAAAGUUAUUAAUUGAUUUGCGUGUCACUGUCACAGCAUGACUCACUCUUGGUUGAAUAAUCCUUGUUGGCAAGCACAGCGGUAAGGCAUUUAUUGUAAUCUUUCACCAGGUUUGCAAACAUCUCUGUUCUAAAUCCUUUAGCUUUCUUGACUGCCACUUGUUAACACAAGAAUUUCUAUAGGACUGAGCUCUGGCUAGACCACUCCAUGUCCUUAAUGUGCUUCUUCUUUAGCCACUCCUUUGUUGCCUUGGUGAUAUGAUUUGGGUCAUUAUCAUGCUGGA